Molecule: ribosomal RNA, 492 nt
Filed under: uncultured bacterium
Lineage: Bacteria
Description: partial 16S ribosomal RNA
Rfam family: Bacterial small subunit ribosomal RNA
Source: RNAcentral
AGUGAACGCUGGCGGUAGGCCUAACACAUGCAAGUCGAACGGCAGCACAGUAAGAGCUUGCUCUUACGGGUGGCGAGUGGCGGACGGGUGAGGAAUACAUCGGAAUCUACUUUUUCGUGGGGGAUAACGUAGGGAAACUUACGCUAAUACCGCAUACGACCUACGGGUGAAAGCAGGGGAUCUUCGGACCUUGCGCGAUUGAAUGAGCCGAUGUCGGAUUAGCUAGUUGGCGGGGUAAAGGCCCACCAAGGCGACGAUCCGUAGCUGGUCUGAGAGGAUGAUCAGCCACAUUGGAACUUGGACACGGUCCAGACUCCUACGGGAGGCAGCAGUGGGGAAUAUUGGACAAUGGGCGCAAGCCUGAUCCAGCCAUACCGCGUGGGUGAAGAAGGCCUUCGGGUUGUAAAGCCCUUUUGUUGGGAAAGAAAAGCAGCAGGUUAAUACCCCGCUGUUCUGACGGUACCCAAAGAAUAAGCACCGGCUAACUUCGUG